RNAcentral lists this transfer RNA (67 nucleotides) under Marmota monax (woodchuck). Its description in RNAcentral is "tRNA.Ala". The stretch from base 6 to 62 matches the Rfam family "tRNA", at positions 8 to 63 of the family's 71-position model. Rfam says of the family: Transfer RNA (tRNA) molecules are approximately 80 nucleotides in length. Their secondary structure includes four short double-helical elements and three loops (D, anti-codon, and T loops). Lineage: Eukaryota; Metazoa; Chordata; Mammalia; Rodentia; Sciuridae. The record is from RNAcentral.
GGCUAUAGCUCAGUGGCAGAGUGCUUGCCUAGCAUGCAUGAGGCACUGGGUUCAAUCCUCAGCACCA